RNAcentral lists this ribosomal RNA (507 nucleotides) under uncultured bacterium. Its description in RNAcentral is "bacterial SSU rRNA". It matches the Rfam family "Bacterial small subunit ribosomal RNA", at positions 19 to 518 of the family's 1533-position model. The record is from RNAcentral.
AUGGCUCAGGAUGAACGCUAGCGGCAGGCUUAACACAUGCAAGUCGAGGGGCAACGCGAGUAGCAAUACUUGGCGGCGACCGGCGCAAGGGUGCGUAACGCGUGAGCAACAUGCCCGUAUCAGGGGGAUAAUCCAGGGAAACUUGGUCUAAUACCCCAUAGUAAUUUUGUAAGGCAUCUUAUAAGAUUUAAAGCUUUGGUGGAUACGGAUUGGCUCGCGUGACAUUAGCUGGAUGGUAAGGUAACGGCUUACCAUGGCUAUGAUGUCUAGGGGUUCUGAGAGGAAGGUCCCCCCACACUGGAACUGAGACACGGUCCAGACUCCUACGGGAGGCAGCAGUGAGGAAUAUUGGACAAUGGAUGGAAAUCUGAUCCAGCCAUGCCGCGUGAAGGAAAAGAAGGUCCUAUGGAUUGUAAACUUCUUUUGUAUGGGAGCAAUAAGGCCUACGAGUAGGUUGAUGAGAGUACCAUACGAAUAAGCACCGGCUAACUCCGUGCCAGCCGCAGC